This 24-nucleotide small RNA is filed under the name Arabidopsis thaliana (thale cress). RNAcentral's name for it is "ATSL182130". The record is from RNAcentral. Lineage: Eukaryota; Viridiplantae; Streptophyta; Magnoliopsida; Brassicales; Brassicaceae.
CUGCGAGGAAGAAGAAGAAUCUGA